This 425-nucleotide ribosomal RNA is filed under the name uncultured Bacteroides sp. Its description in RNAcentral is "bacterial SSU rRNA". It matches the Rfam family "Bacterial small subunit ribosomal RNA", at positions 355 to 774 of the family's 1533-position model. The record is from RNAcentral. Lineage: Bacteria; Pseudomonadati; Bacteroidota; Bacteroidia; Bacteroidales; Bacteroidaceae.
UGAGGAAUAUUGGGUCAAUGGGACGUAAGUAUGAACCAGCCAAGUAGCGUGAAGGAUGACUGCCCUCUGGGUUGUAAACUUCUUUUAUACGGGAAUAACAUGAGGUACGCGUACCUUAUUGCAUGUACCGUUAUGAAUAAGCAUCGGCUAACUCCGUGCCAGCAGCCGCGGUAAUACGGAGGAUGCGAGCGUUAUCCGGAUUUAUUGGGUUUAAAGGGAGCGUAGGUGGGACAUUAAGUCAGCUGUGAAAGUUUGGGGCUCAACCUUAAAAUUGCAGUUGAUACUGGUUUCCUUGAGUACGGUACAGGUGGGCGGAAUUCGUGGUGUAGCGGUGAAAUGCUUAGAUAUCACGAAGAACUCCGAUCGCGAAGGCAGCUCACCGGGCCGGAACUGACACUGAUGCUCGAAAGUGCGGGUAUCAAACA